Molecule: ribosomal RNA, 468 nt
Filed under: uncultured bacterium
Lineage: Bacteria
Description: partial 16S ribosomal RNA
Rfam family: Bacterial small subunit ribosomal RNA
Source: RNAcentral
GACGAACGCUGGCGGCGGGCUUAACACAUGCAAGUCGAACGGAAAGGCCCUGCUUUUGUGGGGUGCUCGAGUGGCGAACGGGUGAGUAACACGUGAGUAACCUGCCCUUGACUUUGGGAUAACUUCAGGAAACUGGGGCUAAUACCGGAUAGGAGCUCCUGCUGCAUGGUGGGGGUUGGAAAGUUUCGGCGGUUGGGGAUGGACUCGCGGCUUAUCAGCUUGUUGGUGGGGUAGUGGCUUACCAAGGCUUUGACGGGUAGCCGGCCUGAGAGGGUGACCGGCCACAUUGGGACUGAGGUACGGCCCAGACUCCUACGGGAAGCAGCAGUGGGGAAUAUUGCACAAUGGGCGGAAGCCUGAUGCAGCAACGCCGCGUGCGGGAUGACGGCCUUCGGGUUGUAAACCGCUUUCGCCUGUGACGAAGCGUGAGUGACGGUAAUGGGUAAAGAAGCACCGGCUAACUACGUG